AAGCCAUGGUGUGGGCACAAAUUCAAAAGCUCUUUAAAAUUUUCCCAAGUUUGAUAUAAAGUUUCAUUUUCCUUCUGAGAGAAAUUGGAGAUUCUUUUUUUUAAUAAC
This 108-nucleotide small nucleolar RNA is filed under the name Prunus dulcis (almond). RNAcentral's name for it is "sRNA ncRNA". It matches the Rfam family "Plant small nucleolar RNA R71". From Rfam's summary of the family: R71 is a member of the C/D box family of snoRNAs containing the C (UGAUGA) and D (CUGA) box motifs. Multiple nearly identical copies of this snoRNA have been identified in Arabidopsis, and it is thought to function as a 2'-O-ribose methylation guide for 18S ribosomal RNA. Lineage: Eukaryota; Viridiplantae; Streptophyta; Magnoliopsida; Rosales; Rosaceae. The record is from Rfam by way of RNAcentral.